GUUUACGGCCAUACCAGCCUGGGUACGCCUGAUCUCGUCUGAUCUCGGAAGCUAAGCAGAGUCGGGCCUGGUUAGUACUUGGAUGGGAGACCGCCUGGGAAUACCAGGUGCUGUAAGCU
This 119-nucleotide ribosomal RNA is filed under the name Salmo trutta (river trout). The record is from RNAcentral. Lineage: Eukaryota; Metazoa; Chordata; Actinopteri; Salmoniformes; Salmonidae.